Molecule: ribosomal RNA, 253 nt
Filed under: uncultured bacterium
Lineage: Bacteria
Description: partial 16S ribosomal RNA
Rfam family: Bacterial small subunit ribosomal RNA
Source: RNAcentral
UACAUGUGGGGCAAGCGUUGUUCGGAAUUACUGGGCAUAAAGGGAGCGUAGGCGGAUAGUUUAGUCAGAGGUGAAAGCCCAGGGCUCAACCUUGGAAUUGCCUUUGAUACUGGCUAUCUUGAGUACGGAAGAGGUAUGUGGAACUCCGAGUGUAGAGGCGAAAUUCGUAGAUAUUCGGAAGAACACCAGUGGCGAAGGCGACAUACUGGUCCGUUACUGACGCUGAGGCUCGAAAGCGUGGGGAGCAAACAGG